This is a long non-coding RNA of Maniola jurtina (meadow brown), 145 nucleotides long. RefSeq lists it as uncharacterized. NCBI's taxonomy places the organism in Eukaryota, Metazoa, Arthropoda, Insecta, Lepidoptera, Nymphalidae. The transcript is spliced from 2 exons. The record is from RefSeq and is a predicted model, not a curated record.
CACAACUCCCUUUUUGAAAGUUGGUUAAAAAAGUAGCCUAUGUUACUCCUUCGUUAAUCCUUUACUUGUUUGUGAAAGUCCCGUCAAAAUAGGUUCAGCCGUUCCGAAGAUUAACCCGCUCAAACAGACAGAAGACAAACAAUUU